Molecule: unclassified non-coding RNA, 208 nt
Filed under: soil metagenome
Description: partial contains 5.8S ribosomal RNA, internal transcribed spacer 2, and large subunit ribosomal RNA
Source: RNAcentral
AACCUUAUGGACCUGCGGGCGUAUACCUGCGGAGGGAUCAUUACUGAGUGAGGGCCUUCGGGCUCGACCUCCAACCCUUUGUGAACACAACUUGUUGCUUCGGGGGCGACCCUGCCGUUUCGACGGCGAGCGCCCCCGGAGGCCUUCAAACACUGCAUCUUUGCGUCGGAGUUUAAGUAAGUUAAACAAAACUUUUAACAACGGAUCU